Molecule: unclassified non-coding RNA, 248 nt
Filed under: Glomus sp.
Lineage: Eukaryota; Fungi; Glomeromycota; Glomeromycetes; Glomerales; Glomeraceae
Description: partial contains 5.8S ribosomal RNA and internal transcribed spacer 2
Rfam family: 5.8S ribosomal RNA (bases 1-65)
Source: RNAcentral
GUGAAUCAUCGAAUUUUUGAACGCAAAUUGCACUCUCUUCGGAGAGUAUGCCUGUUUGAGUGUCAGCCUAAAAAAAAAUCGUCAUAGUCGCUUUUUCGCUGUGACAUUCUUCGGAAAUUGGGGCAGCUUAAACCUUUGAGUUUUAAGCGGCUUAAAAUUUUCUUUACGGUUCCACGAACGUUUCUAAGAUUUACUUCUUAUACUUUGAAGGUAUCGAUCUUUAUUAGACGUUGCCGUUGCGUCGAGGC